RNAcentral lists this non-coding RNA (29 nucleotides) under Mus musculus (house mouse). The record is from RNAcentral. Lineage: Eukaryota; Metazoa; Chordata; Mammalia; Rodentia; Muridae.
UAACUUGAUAGUGACUUUGUAUUUUCUGU